AGAUUGAACGCUGGCGGCAGGCCUAACACAUGCAAGUCGAGCGGUAGAGAGGUGCUUGCACCUCUUGAGAGCGGCGGACGGGUGAGUAAUGCCUAGGAAUCUGCCUAGUGGUGGGGGAUAACGUUCGGAAACGGACGCUAAUACCGCAUACGUCCUACGGGAGAAAGCGGGGGACCUUCGGGCCUCGCGCCAUUAGAUGAGCCUAGGUCGGAUUAGCUAGUUGGUGAGGUAAUGGCUCACCAAGGCGACGAUCCGUAACUGGUCUGAGAGGAUGAUCAGUCACACUGGAACUGAGACACGGUCCAGACUCCUACGGGAGGCAGCAGUGGGGAAUAUUGGACAAUGGGCGAAAGCCUGAUCCAGCCAUGCCGCGUGUGUGAAGAAGGUCUUCGGAUUGUAAAGCACUUUAAGUUGGAGAAGGUUGUAACUUAAUACGUGCAACUUUGACGUUACCGACAGAAUAAGCACCGCUAACUUCGCGCCAGCAGCCG
RNAcentral lists this ribosomal RNA (491 nucleotides) under uncultured soil bacterium. RNAcentral's name for it is "bacterial SSU rRNA". It matches the Rfam family "Bacterial small subunit ribosomal RNA", at positions 26 to 517 of the family's 1533-position model. The record is from RNAcentral.